This 230-nucleotide ribosomal RNA is filed under the name uncultured bacterium. Its description in RNAcentral is "partial 16S ribosomal RNA". It matches the Rfam family "Bacterial small subunit ribosomal RNA", at positions 118 to 347 of the family's 1533-position model. The record is from RNAcentral.
UGAGGAACAUGACCUUCGGCGGGGGAUAGCCGGCCCAACGGCCGGGUAAUACCGCGUACGACCACAUGGGGACAUCCCUGAGUGGUGAAAGCAGCAAUGCGCCGAUGGAGUGCCUCGCGGCCUAUCAGCUAGUUGGUGAGGUAACGGCUCACCAAGGCAACGAUGCGUAGCCGACCUGAGAGGGUGAUCGGCCACAUUGGAACUGAGAUACGGUCCAGACUNUACGGGAG